AAAACUGGUUUUGCAGAGGGUUUUCUGAAAGCUCAAACACUAACACAAAAAACCAAUGAUUCUCUAAGACGAACCCGUCUGAUUCUCUUUGUUCUGCUGCUAUUUGGCAUUUAUGGACUCCUAAAAAACCCAUUUUUAUCUGUUCGCUUCCGGACAACAACAGGGCUUGAUUCUGCAGUUGAUCCUGUCCAGAUGAAAAAUGUCACCUUUGAACAUGUUAAAGGAGU
Equus quagga is the source of this 227-nucleotide long non-coding RNA. RefSeq lists it as uncharacterized. The transcript is spliced from 3 exons. The record is from RefSeq and is a predicted model, not a curated record. Lineage: Eukaryota; Metazoa; Chordata; Mammalia; Perissodactyla; Equidae.